Molecule: long non-coding RNA, 8858 nt
Filed under: Panax ginseng (ginseng)
Lineage: Eukaryota; Viridiplantae; Streptophyta; Magnoliopsida; Apiales; Araliaceae
Description: long non-coding RNA (PGIN_LNC006821)
Source: RNAcentral
UCGUACUUAGGGGGAUCAGCCCUUAGUACCAUACUGUACACAAUAUCUUAAGGCUAAAGCGUAAAUAAUCCCCUAUACAGGGUUGUUCAUCUCAGUUUGACAUUCAAGUCCGCACCAAAGGAAGUUUGGUUUGGAUAAUUCAUCAAGGGAUUCUAAAAUUUAGAACGCUCAUCAACUAUGGACUAGUCAAAUCAAUAAGGGUUUGCUAGUCUAAUAAUGUUUAACAGUAAAUGAAUAUUUAACUUGAAUAACAUAUCAAAAGGUAUACAAUAGAAUAAUUAUUGUAUAACAACAUCAUGCUUGAAGAUUAAUAAACUUUAAUAUCCAAGACAGGCUUGAUCAAUAAUAAUGAGAACUUGCUCAAUAUCGAAAGAGGAAAUAAUCAAUUUAUAUAACGAUAACAAGUAAAGUUAGGAAACUUGCUCAACAUAAAUGUAGCGUUAGAAAACUUGCUCAAUGUAACAAGAUAAGGUUUAGAAACUUGCCUCGUGCAUAGAUUACACUUAAACAAACUCGCUCUUUGAAUUAAAUCCUACAUAUCAAUUACGUUCACAAUACCAGUCAAUAAUAACGUACUAAACAUCACAAGUUUAUUCUUUGUCUAACUCGAGUUCAUUACUAUACUUAGUCAAUUACUACACUUAUUGUCAAAAAUUAAGACUUUCAGUUCACACGUAAUUGUGUUAUGGACAUGUUAAGAAUUUAUUUUAACAUCUCAUUAUAGGUCUAACAAGUCUUUAUAUUCAUUAGACUAGGUUACUAACUCAUUUCUAUACUUGAACAUUAAAAAUUUACAUUUUCUGGACAUUCUGCUAAGUGGCGCUGCGGCGCCACUUUUGUACUGGCUCUUGGCGCUGCGGCCGGACAGUUGGCGCUGCGGCGCGGGAAAAGAACUAGGAGUUGGCGCCGCGGCGCGAGACUCCAGUUCCAGUUUCUGCAAUUCGCGAAAAUUGCAGAACACGACUAAAAAUUUCCAAUCAACUUAUUUUUACACGAAUUUAGACAUACCCACAUGCUAGAAUUCAUAAAUAAUCAAUACUUAACAUCUAUGGAGUGAUUUUCACCCAUUAAAACACAUAAUCACAGAAUUAAAGCAUGCAAAUUGGACUGUUCUUGAUGUUCUUGAAGUUCUUGAACAAAAACAUGGAUUUUAAUGCUACGGAUUCGUUAUAAAGCCAAAUCCAACCAUUCAAGUUUCAUUUUGUUCAUUUUAACAUAUAUAAUCAUAUCAAUGUGUGAGUUUUGCAAAAUAAAUUAUAUUUGACAUAUAAAAAUCACGUAUAAGGCCAUAUGACCAUAUAACAUACUUUGAAAUCUUUUACUGUAUAAUUUCAUGAAACUGAAGAUACGGAAACCCAUAUAAUAUAUAUUAAAACAUGAUAUACUACUCGAAUCAUUACACAUAUCCCUAUAACAACACCCUUUCCCAAUUUACAGAGAAUUAUAGAAUAAAUGAAAGCCAUAUUCAUGAAAACUUUAAAAGACGUAAAAUAGGAAUUUGGGUUGGAGAGAAUUACCCAAAGCGUAGAAUAUAACUUACUAGGAAGUGAAUUCCUCAUCCACAAAACUCUGAAUUCUCAACUCUCUCUUUGUAUCUUUCUCUGAAACUCUCUCUGACACUUUCUAGACUUACGAAAAUUAAUGAAGAAAAGGAAGGGGAAAGCGUAUAAUAAAGAAGACGUCUGACGAGUUGUGGUCAGUUACCCAGUCAUGGGUAACUGCCCUCAACUCCCUAUAAGGCCUUGUUUGGCUAGUUAGAAUAGGUUUUAAAAAUCAUUUAAUUUAAUAAAUCUUUAUUAUAUAGUUUAACUAAUGUCACAUCCAUAUAAAAUAAAUCUAAUAUCUUAUUUAAUUUACUUUAAAUAAAAUAUAAUAAUUUCUCAUUAAUACACAUAGUCACAUAAUUCAAAUUCUCUUUGAUUAAUAAUGUCAAAUUAUUAAAUCUCUAAUUAAUAAUUAAAUUAAUUAAAAUACUACCAGGCUUAUUAAAUAUUUCUUUUAAUACAAUAAGCUCACAUAAUCACAUACUUCGAAUAAUAAAAAUUCUCUACAUUAAUUUAAUAAAUAUAACACAUAUAAUUAAAUUAAUCUACCACCACUUCAUCAAUUAAUCAUUUAAUCUAAUAAUUAAUUCAUUGAAAAAAUAUUUAUUUAAUCUAAUAAAUAUUUAAAUUAAAUUACAAAAUCUCGGUUGUCACAUCUUUCCCCUCUUAAAAGGAUUCUGUCUUCAGAAUCACAACUUAAUAAUUCGUUCCGUUACAUUCUCCCCCCUUACAAAGAUUCUGUCCCUAGAAUCGCAUAUAACAAUCUAAGUAAAUAAAUGAGGAUAAUUCUUCAUCAUAUUCUCUUCGAGUUCCCACGUAGCUUCUUCAGCGUUGUGGUUCCUCCAAAUUACCUUAACAGAAGGUAUUACUUUAUUUCUCAGAACUUGUUCUUUUCGGUCGAUAAUUUGAACAGGAAUUUCUUUGUAAGACAAGUCUUUGUCGAAAUGUAGGGGUUCAUAUUCAAUCACGUGCUUGUAAUUGGGUUUGUAGGGUCGUAGGACUGAGACAUAGAAAACAUUGUGGACAUUCUCUAGAGAUGGAGGAAAGGCUACCUCAUAAGCAACUUCUCCUACCCUUCUCAGAACUUCAAAGGGUCCGAUGAAUCUUGGGCUCAAUUUUCCUUUCUUUCUGAACCUGAUCUUUCCCUUCCAAGGAGAGACCUUUAAGAACACAUAGCUACCCGGCUCGAAUUCGACAUUCUUGCGGUGUGGAUCGGCGUAUUUCUUCUGUCUAUCUUGAGCUGCUGUCAAUCUUGCUCGAAUCACCUUGACUAUCUCUGCUGUUUGUUAUACCAAUUCCGGGCCUAGUAGUUGUCUUUCGCCAACUUCAUCCCAAUAUAGUGGAGUUUUGCACUUUCUGCCGUAUAACGCUUCAUAGGGUGGCAUUCCAAUACUAGCAUGAUAACUGUUGUUGUAACCGAACUCUACAAGCAGUAAAUGGUCAUCCUAAUUUCCUUUAAAAUCCAUUAUACAAGCUCUUAACAUAUCUUCCAAUGUUUGAAUUGUUCUUUCACUCUGUCCAUCUGUCUGAGGGUGAUAUGUUGUACUCAUUCUCAACUGUGUAUCCAUGCAUUCCUGUAGACGUUUCCAGAAGUUCGACAUAAAACGCGGAUCUCUAUCAGAAAUAAUUGAGACCGGAACUCCGUGCCUUGAAACAAUCUCUUUCAUAUAUAACCUUGCCAACUGAUCUAGGUUGAAUCUGAUUUUGAUCGGAAGGAAGUGUGCGGAUUUCGUCAAUCGGUCAAAAAUAACCCAUACUGCGUCGUAGCCUUUCUGAGUUGUCGGUAGGCCAACCACAAAAUCCAUCAUAAUAUGUUCCCAUUUCCACUCUGGGAUUUCUAAAGGUUGUAGUAACCCACUCGGUCUCUGAUGUUCUACUUUCACUUUCUGACAUGUCAGGCAUUUGGCAACACAUUCUGCAACCUCUCGUUUUAAAUUUGGCCACCAAAAGUGUUGUCGAAGAUCUUGGUACAUCUUGGUGCUACCAGGGUGAAUCGAAUAUCUUGAGUUGUGAGCUUCGCUUAAAAUUUCUUCCUUAAUCUCUGGUACUGGUGGUACCCAAAUUCUGCUCUCAAAUCUUAGUAGUCCCUCAUUGUCUAUUUUAAAUCUCGGUUCAGUCCCUUCAGAUAUCUUCUUCUUCACUUUCUCACAUUCUUCGUCCUGAAGUUGAGCCUCCUUAACUUUAUCCAGUAAGGUUGUACCAGCUUGCAUCUAAAACAACUUCUUGUCAAUUUCCAUAGGAUACUUCACUUCCAAUUCCAUCUUUUCCAUCGCUAAAAUUAGCUCCUCAUGAGCGGUCAACAUCAUCAAUUUCUCCCGACCUUUUCUACGGGCGUCGGCCACCACAUUUGCCUUACCCGGAUGGUAUAUAAUCUCACAAUCGUAGUCCUUAAUUAACUCCAACCACCUUCUUUGACGCAUGUUCAAGUCUUUCUGUGUAAAAAUAUAUUUCAGACUCUUGUGAUCUGUAUAUAUUUCACACUUCUCCCUAUAGAGAUAGUGCCUCCAGAUUUUCAAAGCAAAAAGCACUGCAGCUAACUCCAAGUCAUGGGUCGGAUACCGCUUCUCAUUAUCUUUCAGUUGUCGUAACGCAUACGCAAUGACUCUACCAUUCUGCAUAAGCACACAGCCAAGUCCUUUAUGCGAUGCAUCACUAUAUACCACAAAAUUUCCUGUGUCAUCCGGAAGAGAUAACACAGGUGUUGUACUCAACCUCUUCUUUAAUUCUUGAAAACUUUCCUCACACUUCUCCGUCCAAACGAAUUUCACCGAUUUCCUAGUCAAAUUCGUCAGCGGAGUUGCGAUCUUGGAAAAAUCCUGAAUGAAUCUUCUGUAAUAACCUGCCAAUCCAAGAAAACUUCUUACUUUCGACGGCGUCUUUGGCUGAUCCCAGUUAAUCACAGCUUCGACUUUGGAGGGAUCCACCGAAAUUCCGUCUCUAUCAAUCACAUGUCCAAGAAAUUGUACUCUUUCAAUCCAGAAUUCACAUUUCAAAAACUUAGCAUACAACUUCUCCCUUCUCAAUGUAUCUAAUGUCAACCUCAAAUGCUCUUCGUGUUCUUCCUUGGUUUUCGAAUAUACCAAAAUGUCAUCUAUAAAUACCACUACGAAUUUGUCCAAAAACGGCUUGAACAUUCCAUUCAUUAAACUCAUAAAUGUUGCAGGAGCAUUCGUUAGACCAAAUGACAUUACCAGAAAUUCGUAGUGGCCGUAUCAUGUUCUAAACGCUAUCUUCGGUACAUCCUCUGGUCUCACCUUCAGUUGAUGAUAACCACUUCUCAAAUCUAUCUCCGAAAAGUAUCUUGCUCCCUUUAACUGAUCGAACAAAUCGUCGAUUCGUGGUAAUGGAUACCUAUUCUUAAUCGUGACCUUAUUCAGUUCUCUGUAGUCAAUUUAGAGCCGCAUCGUUCCAUCCUUCUUCUUCACAAAUAAAACUGGCGCUCCCCACGGUGAUACGCUUGGUUGAAUAUACUUUUUAUCCAGUAAUUCUUGUAGUUGGACCAUCAGUUCUUUCAUCUCUACCGGUGCUAUUCGGUACGGUGCCUUCGAUAUUGGGGCCAUUCCUGGAGCCAAUUCGAUAACGAAUUUAACUGCUCUAUCUGGAGGAAGUCCCAACAAAUCAUUCGAAAAUACGUCUGCAAAAUCUCUCACUACCGAAAUCUCAUCAAUUUUUGGAUUCUCUUUACGACUAUUGACUAUGUAAGCUAGAUAUCCUACACAGCCUUACCUUAACAACCUUCUGGCCUGCAUCAUCGUCAGACAACUCGCUUGUCUAGGCGACUUGCUACCAUAAAACACAACCUUUGACGGAGUCAUAAGGUUAAUACGCUUCUUCUGGCAGUCAAUUACCGCCCCAUAAUUGGAUAACCAAUCCAUACCCAAAAUAACAUCAAAUUCUCCAAGUCGAAUAGGGAGAUCUACGUUCAUGAUAUUACCCUUAAUAUCUACUCUACAAUUCUUGUGCACAUACUUAACAGGGAUAAUUUCUCUAUUCACAAUUUCUAUGUUCAUGGGGUAUUCUAACUCGUCCUUAAACAAUUCUAAGUUCUUAGCGAAGUCAUCGAAUAUAAAUGAGCAAGUAGCACCCGAAUCAAAUAACACAUAAGCAUUAACUUUAUUGAUCAGAAUGAUACCUGACACCACAUCGCGAGACUGUACCGCGUCCUUCACUGUCAUGUUGAACGUUCUGGCUGUUGGUCUAUUGGUUGUGGUUGGUCCUGCAAUGGUUAGAGUGCUUCCACCAGUAUUUCCUCUGAUUCCUCCUGAACUCGUCCCUCCCGAUCCCUUCUUAGGACAAUCUCUUGCAAGAUGGUCCUUUGAUUCAAAUGUGAAGCAUACAUUCUUCUUUGGGUUCGGAUAGUUUGGUGCUAUGUGUCCUUCCUGACCACAAUUGUAGCACACUCGCUUCCCCUUCAGGCAAACUCCCAAAUGCGUUUUUCCACAGGUUGGGCACGGUUCAAUCUUCUUCUUCUGCCCUCCCUAUUGACUUCCAGCCGAUAAAUUUUCAGACCACUUCCUCUUCUGAUUGUGAUUACCCCCAGUGCUACUCCCACCAGUCUUGUUAUUACCUUCCUUCUCACUCUUUUUCUUCUUCUGCUCCUGAUUAUACUUCGUUACUGCAUCACUUCCACCCUCAAUAAGUAUGGCAUUCCCUAACACUCCAACAAAAGUGUCCAAUUGGAACAUUGACACUUUGCUAUAUAACCAGGGCUUCAGUCCCUGCUCAAAUCGUCUCACCUUCCUCUCAUCGGUAUGUACUUGGUACGUGACGAACCUAGCCAACUCAUUAAACCUUGCUGCAUAAUCAGCUACUGACAUAUUCCCUUGUUUUAACUCUAGAAACUGAACCUCCAUCUGAUUUUGCGAACUAGUUAGAAAAUACAUCUCGAAGAACAUCUCUUUGAAUCUUUCCCAGGAUAUUACACCUUCACCUCCUCCCACUUUGUUUGCCUGCCACCAAUAGCUGGCUUCGGGCUUCAGCAUAAACGUUGCAUAAGCAGUCUUCUGAUCUUCCCUUACCUUAACAACAUCGAACACCUUCUCCAUCUCCAUUACCCAGGUCUGAGCUUCGAUUGGGUUUAUGGAACCCUUAAACUCUACUGGUCCCACCGCCUUGAAGUCAUUAAACAAAGUAUUUAGUGGAGCUUGGGGUUGAUUAUUAAGUGCUCCAGCUAAAAGGUUUACCAAUUGCUGAACGGAGUUAGCAUUGGCGUCGUUGUUAUUGUUUGUUGACCCUUCCUGGGCUUGCUGACGAUUUUAUCUUCUAGGCGGCAUAUUUCUGUUAAGAAUAUACGCUUAUUAGGUUUUUAUUCAAUCUCUUAAACAUUUAAGAAAUCAAUUCAAAUAAACUUUGACAUUCUCAUUAAAUUCAAAAGUUUUAACACCAUAAGAUAGCGUCACUGCUAUUUACAUCAACUAUCCCAAGAUAAGGAAUCUACAGGAUUUAAAACAUCAACAUAUUCCUUUAUUUAUAAACAUAUCGGAAUUUACAUCAUUAACUAUCAAAUAGUUUUCACAUAUUUAAACUAAUACUAUCACUGUCUGUUAAGGCGCUGGAUGGCAUUGCUACGUUCCUCCUCCAUUAUGCGGCACAUAGUUCUGCGAUCUAGCAUAUAUGAUGGUAGAUCCUCAAACUGGAUUGGAUACUUCCUAACUCGAUCUUGGACCGCAUCCAUUGCAUUUUGUAGUGUAGAGUACGUCUCCUCAAGUUUAGCCUUCUUCGCACGGUGAUCAUCUUCUGCAUGAUUAGCAUGGCGUGACUCUCGUACCCAGCCCUCCUCUGCUAUGGCAAGCCUCUCUGAGCUCUCCUUCAGAUCCUUCUUUAACUUCUCUAUUUUUGCGGACUUAUCCUCGGUCUGACCCUUCUCGUGAACCAGAUCCCACUCCACGUUUCCUAAACGUGUGUGAAGAGUCACAAUCUCUCUAUCCCUUUGCUCAAUAGUAAUCUGCUGACUAACCGCCUGCUCAGUCAGAUCCUGAACAGUAUCCUGCAACUCUAUGUUAUGAUCAUAGAGUGAAUCAUACAUCUCUGCAUCAAUGGAGUUCGGUGGGAACUCCUCUUCUUCCUCUUCUUCUUCCUCUUCCUCAGGAUCCUCCUCUGGAUCUGUCUCCGGCUCAUGCUCCUGACCAGCAACAGUGAUCAACGGAGAUGGCUCUCUCUGUACAAGUUGUUCACUGACGACAUGAAUGUCUCGGGGCUCCUCCUCUAUAGGUAAUCGGGGUUCCUCCUCCCCAGCUCGACUAGCUCCUCCAACAUCCGACAUCCUGACAACAAAAUUUUAAGUUUUAGUUACUAAUCCGUGCUAGCGAAAACAUAGAUUAACACAUAAGCACAUAAAGUUUUUUUAUUAUCUUCAAUGAAUUCAGAAAUUCAUUUCUUAGAACUCGAUAAGAGUUUACCAUCACUAUGUUCUCGAUCUCCUACAAGGAUACUACAUAAGGUUGUUCCCCCCACCUAAGGUUCAUAACCUUACAACUUUGAUACCAACCUGUGACACCCCCAAAUCUGGUACUUCCAUUUCCACAGGAAUUGGUGUUCACUAUACAAACACCAUCUAUCUAUCUACCUAUAAAUAAAAUGCAAACCAUGCAAUUGAAUAAAUAAAUAUUAAAUCUCUCCCCUUAUGGGGUUACAUCAACUGAAUAAAAAUAAAUCCCACGUUACUCUAACCUUAAAACAUCUGUGCGGAAAACAUAAACAAAUAAGUCUUAAGUAACAUUAGGUCUAACUAUCAUUACAUAAUCACAUAAAUAAUCAGUCUUCAUUACUUGCAAAUCUUGCCCUUGCCCUUACUAGUGGAAGGUUCGUCUGCUCUUUCGUUCUUAACUGCAAUGUUAUUAUUACGCAAGAGUGAGCACGAUUGCCCACAAGUAUAACAAUAUAACAAUGAAUAAUAACAUGCGAGAGAAAUAAUAACUUCUGAUAUAAAGCUCAACUUUUGAAUCAAGAAUGGAUAACAAGAAUCAAAAGAAAUUAUGAGGGUCAUAAGACCUUGAACUAUGUCCUAGGUUGUCAAUUGUUUUUAAUUGAAACCUUUAACAGUCAUAAAACUAUGGACUCUUCUUCUCAUACUUAGGGGGAUCAGCCCUUAGUACCAUACUGUGCACAAUAUCUUAACGCUAAAGCGUAAAUAAUCCCCUAUAUAGGGUUGUUCAUCUCAGUUGGACAUUCAAGUUCGCACCAAAGGAAGUUUGGUUUGGAUAAUUCAUCAAGGGAUUCUGAAAUUUAGAACGCUCAUCAACUAUGGACUAGUCGAAUCAAUAAGGGUUCGCUAGUCUAAUAAUGUUUAACAGUAAAUGAAUAUUUAACUUGAAU